GAUAAUUUAAAAAUUAAUCUCAAGAACUAAAGCCAAAUGGCUAAAACUUAAAGAUCAUGGCGGCUAGUUUUAUUCAGGGGAACUUACCUACUAAACGAUAACCCACGAGUUAAUUAUCUUUACUUAAAAGUUUGUAUACCGCCGUUUAGUAUUGAAUUAAGUUUAAUACCAAAUCUUAAAGAGAACCACAGGUUAAGGUGCAGCCUAUAGUAAAGAAUUGGCGAGUUACAAUAAGUAUUUUUUUCGGAAAUAUAAUUUAAUAGAUAUAGAAGAUGGACUUGAUAGUAAAUUUUAAUUGAAAUAUAAAUUGAAAUCCAAAAUAUUAGUGC
Molecule: ribosomal RNA, 329 nt
Filed under: Siphonaria sp. UF 288552
Lineage: Eukaryota; Metazoa; Mollusca; Gastropoda; Siphonariida; Siphonariidae
Description: partial 12S ribosomal RNA
Source: RNAcentral